CAGAGGACAAGAUGAGUUGAAUCAACCAACAAGAUCUCAUGUUUGGAGUUCUUCCCCUAUUGAGAAGUCUUCAGAUGACAACAGUUGGAAAGAAAAUAGAGCACAAGCUUGAUUUCUAUUGACCGACCAGAGCUCCUGGAUGGGGUUCUUCGAGUAGAUUCAUUACACUCAAUAGCAGAAGAGAUGUAGAUUCAUUACACUUAAUUCAGGAUGUUGUUUAAAUUACUUGUCCUAACAAGUGCACAAGUUGGGAUGGAUUGGACUUCUAUCUUGAGAAAAUGCCAUGAUUUCAGAAAGACAAAUAGCAUCAAUGGCCAUAGAUUGUAACCUAGAUUUAAACAAGGUUCGAGGUGCCGUCAACAAUACUAACAGAAUCCUCCAGGUCAAAUUGUUGAUUGGACCUGAUUUUAUUUAAAUGAUCUUGAUAAUCCAUUUUAUUUAAAUGAGUAGACUUAGAUGUGCGUCGGAGCUAUCCGGAUGUUGAGCGGGGGUCCCUGAAAGGUGGGAACCGCUGUUAUGACCAUGAUGAAGCUGUACAUUUUAUAUGGACAACAUUGGAGGGGCCUGGCCAUUUGGACAGGCUGUGUUUAUGUGUUUGCUCGAAAUUAAUGGAGCAGACCCGGAUGUGUGUCGGAGCUAUCCGGAUGAGCGGGAGUCCCUGGAAGGUGAGAACCGCCGUUAUGACCAUGAUGAAGCUGUUCAUUUCCUAUGGACAGCAUUG
Long non-coding RNA from Magnolia sinica, 721 nucleotides. RefSeq lists it as uncharacterized. The transcript has 3 exons. Lineage: Eukaryota; Viridiplantae; Streptophyta; Magnoliopsida; Magnoliales; Magnoliaceae. The record is from RefSeq and is a predicted model, not a curated record.